Molecule: non-coding RNA, 819 nt
Filed under: Sinotaia quadrata
Lineage: Eukaryota; Metazoa; Mollusca; Gastropoda; Architaenioglossa; Viviparidae
Source: RNAcentral
CAAUGCUAUGAUGUAAUUAUUUUAUAUAAUGUAAAAUGGUUAUAUUGAUCCUAAGUAUUAUAGAAGUAAAUGAUAUUUAAGUUUUCACUAACACCAGUAUGUAGUUUUGGUUAAUGAAUGAGAGUUUGAACCAGAUUAGUUUUAAUAGAGUUGGUAAAUUUAGUGCCAGCAUCCGCGGUUAAACUAAAGACUCUAGUUAUAUAAAUAAUGGUGGAGUAGGUUAAUAAAUUAUGAAUUGGAUAAAUAUUUUAAGGAUUGUUAUUUAGAUGUAAAAUGUGUAAAUAAUAUAAUUUAUUUUGACUAAAAUAGAAAUGAAUUGAAUUAACGAUAUCUUAAUGUAAAACUAGGAUUAGAUACCCUAUUAUUUUUGAUGUAAAUUAGCGAAGAAAGCGCUUACCUGAGUACUACGAAUGAAAUUAAAUUUAAAACUCAAAGAACUUGGCGGUAUCUUAGACCAUUUAGGGGAACCUGUCUCGUAAUCGAUAGUCCACGUUUUACCUAACCUUAUUUUGUAGAGUAUGUAUACCGUCGUCGUCAGGUAACUUUUAAUAAUUAAAAUAGUUAGCAAUAUAAAUUAGUUUUGAUUUAAACGUCAGAUCAAGGUGCAGCUUAUAAUAAGGUGAGGAUGGGUUACAAUUAAUAAUUUAUAAAACGGAGUGAGAAAUGAAAGUUUUAAGGAAGGAGGACUUAAAAGUAAAAAUUGUAAGAGUGUAAUUUUGAAUAAGGCUCUGAGAUGUGCACACAUCGCCCGUCGCUCUCGUUGAAAAAUGAGAUAAGUCGUAACAUAGUAAGGGUAACGGAAGUUGUCCUUAGGAAGAA